CCAUCAUCAUUAGCGAGUCGAAAUAUAGCAACACUGCUGUCUUAGUAUCCCAAAGAAAUGUCAAUCCCAGUAUAAGCUUGAAAUCAUUCAUCUGAACUACAAAUAAAUUUGUCCUUCCCUCGAAAGGACCUACUUUGAUUAACACCGAUUUCGCCACUCCAUCUAUUGGUUGAGCAGCGGAGUUGAUUGCUUUGACUUUUUCACUACCCUUUUUCAGAACAAGUUCGAGUCGUUCUACUUUGGUACAUGCAAGGUAGUUGUAGGUAGCACCAGUAUCCAGCAUAGCCUUGAUUGGCUUCCCGUUGAUUUUCACAUCAAUGUACAUUAAGCCCUUGGCCCUACAAAUUCAAGCAAUUGCUUCUUUCAUCUUUGCCUCUUUCAAUGGGACAUCAUCCUUUUCAGCAACCCGAUGCGACACUGUGUUGCACCGAUGUGAAAAUACCCCAACUACAUCCUCAUCCUCUUCGGAGUCAGUCUCACUAUGACAAUUAGCCUGUGGGGCCUCUUGCUUUGAACUUGACCCGCCAAUUGCUCGCUGAUAAUAUGCAUUCACCAUCCGCUUCUAAGGAUACUCCGAUACCCGAUGAGGUCCUUUGCAUAAAAAGCACAUCAAUUUGGGAGUGGCAUCAGUUCGGCCCUUCGUUGCUUUUCCUUUGUUCCAGUUGUUACUAUUGCUACCAUUAAAAUUUCCUUGACGGCUAUUAUGAUAAUUUCCCUAAAAGCCACGGGUGCUUUGAUAGGCUCCUCCUUUAUUUUGAGAGUAACGCUCUCUCCCAUUUGGGUUCGAGCUAGGUCUGUAAGGUCUAUUACCACCUCCAAUUGCUUGACUACUCCCCAAAGGUCUAUCUUUUCUAGAUUCUGUUUAGUAGCCGCUCGAGCAUUCGGCGGCUCCCAUGGUCGUGCUCAAAUCAGUAACUUUCUGUCUUUGAAAUUUUGUACGUGUCCACGGUUUCAACCCUUCCAUAAAGGUAAAGAGAUUAUCCUUUUCCGACAUAUCUCGAAUAUUCAGCAUAUGCCCUGAAAAGGAUUUCACAUAAUCCCUGAUAGAGCUUGUGUGUUCCAGGUCUCGAAGUGCCCGUCGAGCCUAAUACUCGACAUUUUCAGGGAAAAACUGCGAUCUGAUCACUUCCUUGAGGAGAUCCCAAGAAUCUAUUCAGACCCUGUUGGCCUAAAUGUCAGCAUAUUUGGUUUGCCACUGCAUCUCCACCCAGAUACAUGGUAGAUGUGGUUACCUUUCUAGCUUCGUCUUCGAUCAAAGCUGCGAGAAAGUACAGAUCCAUGUCAAACAAGAAGUUUUCGACUUCUUUUGCAUCGCAUGUCUCUGCAUAGGUACACGAUUCAGGAAUUCUAAGUCUAGAAGCAUACUCAAGUAUGAGAGUUUGCCCAUUGCCCACCACACAUUGGAGUAAUCGUUAUUGAGCUUUCAACACUUCCAUUUCAUCCUGCAGAUCAGGAGUGAUUGCAGCAACUUCAGUCAUUGUUGCGCAAGCCCUUUGGCUUUCAUCCAGUUGGAUGUAUAAUCCACGAAUUUCGGAUUCUGUCAUCUCGACUUUUUCCUCGAGAUCGUCCAAGGCACAGCACAACCUAGUAGUUGUCUCAUCAAGCACAUCUACGCGCUCUUUAGUAGUACUCUUCUUUUGAGGCUCUCCCACUUCAAUGGUGUGGGAUGUAAUUGGAUCCAUAGCUUUCUUAUCGAGGGUCAUGAGCCGCAGCUCUGAUACCAACUUUCACGGGGUGCCUUUCUUUUUGGCACAAAAAGGAACACCGUGUGGCAGUAGUCUGCUCUGGUAGACUACCUUCUGCCUUUUCUCGAUCGUGUUAAGACGAAAGAAAAUUUGAUUACAGUUUUGUAGAAAGCUUGCAACAGAGAAUUUGAAUACAUUGAAAGUAAAUUGAACAUUAAUUGAUGAAAACUGAA
This 1918-nucleotide long non-coding RNA is filed under the name Olea europaea subsp. europaea. Lineage: Eukaryota; Viridiplantae; Streptophyta; Magnoliopsida; Lamiales; Oleaceae. The record is from RNAcentral.